RNAcentral lists this unclassified non-coding RNA (391 nucleotides) under soil metagenome. RNAcentral describes it as "partial contains 5.8S ribosomal RNA, internal transcribed spacer 2, and large subunit ribosomal RNA". The stretch from base 1 to 122 matches the Rfam family "5.8S ribosomal RNA", at positions 35 to 154 of the family's 154-position model. The record is from RNAcentral.
GAUGAAGAACGCAGCGAAAUGCGAUACUUGGUGUGAAUUGCAGAAUCCCGUGAACCAUCGAGUCUUUGAACGCAAGUUGCGCCCGAAGCCAUUAGGCCGAGGGCACGCCUGCCUGGGCGUCACACGUCGUUGCCCCCCCAUCUACUCCUUCGGGAUUGCGGGGGGCGGAUGAUGGCCUCCCGUGCGCCUCGUCGCGCGGUUGGCAUAAAUGCCAAGUCCUCGGCGACGCACGCCACGACAAUCGGUGGUUGCGAAACCUCGGUUGCCCGUCGUGUGCGGUCGUCGCGCAUCGAGGGCUCGAAAAAAUUGCCGGGCUCCGGCUCGGCUUUCAACGCGACCCCAAGUCAGGCGGGGUUACCCGCUGAAUUUAAGCAUAUCAAUAAGCGGAGGA